Molecule: long non-coding RNA, 516 nt
Filed under: Salmo salar (Atlantic salmon)
Lineage: Eukaryota; Metazoa; Chordata; Actinopteri; Salmoniformes; Salmonidae
Description: lncRNA (ENSSSAG00000096032.1)
Source: RNAcentral
CACAGACAGCCUAGACUAGAGGGACAGGCCACAGACAGCCAAGAGGGACAGGCCACAGACAGCCUAGACUAGAGGGACAGGCCACAGACAGCCUAGAGGGACAGGCCACAGACAGCCAAGAGGGACAGGCCACAGACAGCCUAGAGGGACAGGCCACAGACAGCCUAGAGUGACAGGCCACAGACAGCCAAGAGGGACAGGCCACAGACAGCCUAGAGGGACAGGCCACAGACAGCCAAGAGGGACAGGCCACAAACAGCCUAGACUAGAGGGACAGGCCACAGACAGCUAAGAGGGACAGGCCACAGACAGCCAAGAGGGACAGGCCACAGACAGCCUAGAGGGACAGGCCACAGACAGCCUAGAGGGACAGGCCACAGACAGCCUAGAGGGACAGGCCACAGACAGCCAAGAGGGACAGGCCACAGACAGCCUAGACUAGAGGGACAGGCCACAGACAGCCAAGACGGACAGGCCACAGACAGCCUAGAGGGACAGGCCACAGACAGCCAAGAG